GCGGGGUGCGCGAGUGAGGAGGGCGGGGUGCGCGAGUGAGGAGGGCGGGGUGCGCGAGCGAGGGCGUCCGGCCGGCAGGUGGCACUGUGGCGUCGCCGUGGGCCGAGCCUGGCGAAGCGCUGCUCGCCCGAGAUCGCGCAGCUUGAUCAAAUGAAAAGACGAGAAAACAGCUUCUAUCACCAUGACAGCCACCUGGACACACCUAUCUCUGUUGGCAAGGGGGAGCAUUUGGAAAAUGGAAGUGCUUGGUCCCCAACAGAUGCCUACUUGACACUUGCUGAUGGACAGCUUGUCAAUUUCAUCUAACAAACCGGAAUCACUGGGGCCAUCCAGGAAUCACAGCAGCUCAUGAAGAAAUUCCACAUGAACAGGGCUGUUAAAAGCCAACCCGCCAGAAAGGGUAGAACGGAGGAAGGACAAGAGGGUUCUAACACCUCCUGGAGGCAGAGCACCCACGGAAGUUUCUCAACACUUCUCGUUGAUUCAAGUGGAACACCUUGAAGAGAGGCCCUUCUGUUUCCCUACACGGUGGACAGCAGAGCUCUGAAAAUUAGAUGCUUCCCCAAACCCAGACUCUCUUGGAACAUUCUUCCCAUGCGGGUGGUAUGAACUGCGUGGCACUGCUGUCCUCGCUGGCAUAUAUAGAUUUACACUCCACGCACGAGACUUCCAAGGCAACACCUAGGAUUUAGAGACUAUGUUCUCAGAGACGGGCAUGGAGGCAACGUCCUGGUUCUCAUGUGGUCAAGAAGGUAGAUGGAGAGAAACGUGUGCUAAGCAGCCCGGCCCUCCCCAGAGAAGCCACGGGCAGAGGCUCACCAACACCUGCCCCUCCCUCCAUGGUGUCGCCGGCUUUCAGAAUAAAGCCUUUUCUAGCAU
This 879-nucleotide long non-coding RNA is filed under the name Homo sapiens (human). Its description in RNAcentral is "HSALNT0383798". Lineage: Eukaryota; Metazoa; Chordata; Mammalia; Primates; Hominidae. The record is from RNAcentral.